AGUCUAGGCGGUUAGGAUAGCUGGCUCUCACCCAGCAGACCCGGGUUCGAGUCCCGG
This 57-nucleotide transfer RNA is filed under the name Phytophthora infestans T30-4. It matches the Rfam family "tRNA", at positions 9 to 63 of the family's 71-position model. Rfam says of the family: Transfer RNA (tRNA) molecules are approximately 80 nucleotides in length. The record is from Rfam by way of RNAcentral. Lineage: Eukaryota; Oomycota; Peronosporomycetes; Peronosporales; Peronosporaceae.